CGCCAUUCCAGGCCCUGGGGGCUGCUCCGGCCCCACCAUGAUGUGCUCAGCAGCGGCUCCUACUGAUUUCCAAAUGCAGCCUCAGACGUUUGUGGAGAAAAGCUACUUUAAAGGGGCCAGUGGACUACUGGGUGGAGACGGGGGCGGUAGAAUGGCACUGUGUGCCGGGGACCUGGUCCAGAAUGGUAGCUACACAGGGAGAGCGGGACUUGAGGCUGGAGUCUGGAUUUAGCUCAAGAGAAAAUCAAACAGUGAAGACCCGGGAUCGAAGAUCAUCCACGUGUAGAAACUUCCUUUCAGAGAAAAGAAAAAUCAAGUUUUCAGUGUUCCAGUGCGGCUUUGGUGGGGCUGGGUUGAGCCUGGGGCAGGCCUGCUUCUAAGUGAGCCCUGUGAGCAGCUCCCAGCCCGGGCAACCUCCACCCGAUAGCCAACAGCUGCAAAGAAGCUUCUAAUCUCUUUCCACUCUUGUACUGUAAACAAGGGUCCUCUUCAAGUCUCUUUGGUGUCACUGUCGUUUUUGUUUGUUUAUUUGUUUUUGCAUUUUUGUGCUUUUACUU
This 557-nucleotide long non-coding RNA is filed under the name Mustela putorius furo (domestic ferret). RNAcentral describes it as "lncRNA (ENSMPUG00000027286.1)". Lineage: Eukaryota; Metazoa; Chordata; Mammalia; Carnivora; Mustelidae. The record is from RNAcentral.